AUACGGAGGGUGCAAGCGUUAUUCGGAAUCACUGGGCGUAAAGGGUGCGUAGGUGGUUUGAUAAGUCUGAUGUGAAAUCCUAUGGCUCAACCAUAGAACUGCAUUGGAAACUGUCAGACUAGAAUACUGAAGGGGCAGAUGGAAUUAGUGGUGUAGGGGUAAAAUCCGUAGAUAUCACUAGGAAUACCGAAAGCGAAAGCGAUCUGCUGGGAAGUUAUUGACGCUGAGGCACGAAAGCGUGGGGAGCAAACGGGAUUAGAAACCCUAGUAGUCC
RNAcentral lists this ribosomal RNA (274 nucleotides) under uncultured bacterium. Its description in RNAcentral is "partial 16S ribosomal RNA". It matches the Rfam family "Bacterial small subunit ribosomal RNA", at positions 523 to 796 of the family's 1533-position model. The record is from RNAcentral.